UACGUAGGGUCCGAGCGUUGUCCGGAGUUACUGGGCGUAAAGCGCGCGCAGGCGGCGGUGCUGGCCCGGCGUGAAAGCCCCCGGCUCAACCGGGGAGAGUCGUCGGGGACCGCACCGCUUGAGGGCGGGAGGGGCUGGUGGAAUGCCUGGUGUAGUGGUGAAAUGCGUAGAGAUCAGGCAGAACACCUGGGGCGAAGGCGGCCAGCUGGGCCGUCCCUGACGCUGAGGCGCGAAGGCGUGGGGAGCGAACGGG
This 253-nucleotide ribosomal RNA is filed under the name uncultured bacterium. RNAcentral describes it as "partial 16S ribosomal RNA". It matches the Rfam family "Bacterial small subunit ribosomal RNA", at positions 524 to 776 of the family's 1533-position model. The record is from RNAcentral.